AUGAUAAAGAGUUUUAUUUCCCUACAUGCAGACAUUUGAUUAUGGUUCCUGUAGCGGAGUUACUGCAUGCUCCCCUAUAAUGUAGUGAUGUCAUUGGGUCUGGGGAUGUGCCCGUCUCCGGGCUGCCGUGAUGGAUAACACCUGUCAAUCAGCCCACAGACGCAUCUCCACCCACAGCACCUCUGGCAAGGCUCUUGAAGUCACGGAACGUAUUAGUAGGGGCAUGUUCAGAUCCUCCGGAGGAAGGGACUUAGUAUGCGCACGGUGUGACCAAGAGAUAUACAAGCCCAGGGUUUAGAGCCAUACUAUACAUCUAAGUCUGGCUCUGCAUUGCUGUGUAGCCACUUAGUGAACAACAGACAAUAAAUGGUAGAUAGAAACCUAAAUUUAACUCUGCUGGAUAUGUUUUCGUAUAAGCCCCAAGGUGAGAGUAUUUAUCUAGCGUUCACAUUUUUUAAAUGCUUGGCCUGUAUUCUUGAAGCUGUAGGCCUGGUUUUUCCGAUGCAUGGUUGUGAAUUGUAUUUCCAGAGCGAUCUUUUUUUCCAGCAGCCCAGUCUGUGAAGCAUAUUUAAUGUCCCUGUCACCUCUGCAACAUCUCAGUUGGUGGAGUCUCACCAGCGUUUUGCUGCCUGCCUCACAAACUCCCCUCCACCAACACCCACACUGUGCCUGAGUUCUCCACCACCCGUGUCCAACCAUGGUCGCUGAACACAUUUCCUAGAGGGCUUUGGCUGAACUGCAGCAGCCUAGGCCCAAGCAUCCCUGUGUCCUGUCUGUUCUCCUUCAAACUCCCUCUUUAUUCCCCUGUUGCACCAUGUUAGUGUGCCUGGGACCUCUGGGGUUGGAGGGAUCCUGGGAAACAGCAGUGUGGGUUGUUUAUCUGCUUCUGGCUCCAGGAAGGCAGCUGGCCCAGGGGUCGAGCCCCAGUGGACUGUGAGAGGAUCAGGCUUAGCUAGCUAGGGUUGGGUGGGGAGGGAUUACUGCCUCAUCUGCAAUUCUGGAUGUUGAUGUUGUUGUGCUGUGAGGCCUCUGGGCCUCCUUCCUCACUCAUUAGAAUCUAUGUAGUGCUUUUCAAGGACCCAAAGCCGCUUUACAAUUGUCAAAACAAAAAAACAAAACAGUAGUCAAAACAAGACAACAUCAAACUAAACAAAAACAUGAACAAAGUGAGGGGUGGGCUCAAGGAAGGGAAAGAGUAUGAUGUAUCAGGUAGACCUUGUCAAAUAGGUGGGGCUUUAGGAAGGACUGAAAGAUGGUGAUGGACUCAGAGUCAUGGAUGGCUGGAGGGAGGGAGAGCGGUUCAGAACCUUGGAGCAACCCUGGAGAAGGCCCUGUCGCCGAAGCUCUGGAGUUCGUACCUGGGGAUGACAAGAUGGUCUGCUG
RNAcentral lists this long non-coding RNA (1383 nucleotides) under Salmo salar (Atlantic salmon). Its description in RNAcentral is "lncRNA (ENSSSAG00000100549.1)". The record is from RNAcentral. Lineage: Eukaryota; Metazoa; Chordata; Actinopteri; Salmoniformes; Salmonidae.